GCCACGGUAGCCCAACUGGUAGGAGGCAGCGGCUUCAAACACCGCGCAGUGUCCGUUCGAAUCGGACCCGUGGCACCA
RNAcentral lists this transfer RNA (78 nucleotides) under Alphaproteobacteria bacterium. RNAcentral's name for it is "tRNA-Leu". It matches the Rfam family "tRNA". From Rfam's summary of the family: Transfer RNA (tRNA) molecules are approximately 80 nucleotides in length. Their secondary structure includes four short double-helical elements and three loops (D, anti-codon, and T loops). RNAcentral also lists the same sequence under 1 other name. Lineage: Bacteria; Pseudomonadati; Pseudomonadota; Alphaproteobacteria. The record is from RNAcentral.